CUACGGGGCGCACCAGGCGCGAAACCUUUACAAUGCGGGAAACCGUGAUAAGGGAAUCCAAAGUGCUCAAGUUUACUUGGGCUUUUGCCAAGAGCAAAAAUCUUGGCGAAUAAGUGGUGGGUAAGACUGGUGCCAGCCGCCGCGGUAACACCAGCGCCACGAGUGGGAAUCAUGUUUAUUUGGCCUAAAGCGUCCGUAGCCGGUCCUGUAAAUCUUUUGUGAAAUCUUCAGGCUUAACCUGUUGGCGUGCAGAAGACACUGCAGGACUAGGAACCGGGAGGAGUCAGAGGUAUGGGAUGGGGAGCGGUAAAAUGCGAUAAUCCAUCUUAGACCACCUGUGGCGAAGGCGUCUGACUAGAACGGAUUCGACGGUGAGGGACGAAAGCCAGGGGAGCGAUCCGGAUUAGAUACCCCUGUAGUC
Molecule: ribosomal RNA, 421 nt
Filed under: uncultured archaeon
Lineage: Archaea
Description: partial 16S ribosomal RNA
Rfam family: Archaeal small subunit ribosomal RNA
Source: RNAcentral